AAUAAAAGUGUAUAAAAACAAACCAAAAAUUCAACACGGAAAUUAUUGAAAACAAAACAAAAACUACGGCAGAAAAAAGUGUGAGCUAUAAAAUGCGUAUGUUGAAAAGUGUAAUUGUUGUUGUUGGUGCGCUAAAGAAUUUUAUGUGGAAAUUGUGAAAUAUAUUUAAUGGAAAUGUGCCCCCAAGAAAUUGAACCAGAAAUCAGGCCAGCGAAUAUAUGAAUAGUGUUUCGAGUACAUCAGAAACUAAACUGAAAAUAUUAUAUAUAGUAUAUGCAUAAUCUAAUUUUAUUGAUGAACUUAGAAGAUAACAAUCGCUAUUCAAGUGAUUUGUGAUUUGUGUGCUGUUGCCCCUAAGUUAUUUGUUCGUUAAGCACGGCACGUCAUUUGGCACCUGUUCGGCAAGUUUCUUGAAAAGUGUUUAAAAAAUAAUUUAAAGCUAUUUAUGCUAACGAGCAGCUGGAAAAUAAAGGAGGAGCUGCCGAGCGAAGGCUGAGGGCUGAGAGCUGAGAUCGGAGGCCUUACCCAACUUGCCGUUGGCCUAAUCCCCUUUGGAAAGUGAAAGUAACUCGAGCUGAAAGCCACUUGUGGGAAUUGGGUUAUCUCUACAUUGAAGCAGCCUACAGGAAGAGGAAUAAGACACAGCACCGCGACAAUCAGAGCACAGCAAACACCCUGAACAGAACAUUCAGCUACUUAUCUAUACAUAUAUAUAUAUAGAUUUAAAGCCUGACACAAUAAUAGUUCGGAGGAGUCUUUAAGUGCGGCGGCAACGGCAGCGACAUCAAGAAUUACGGCAAACAGCCGUGAGCACAAAACAUUUAUUAAGCUGACCGCAAAUACCGUUUUAUUAAGCAUACGCCACAUUAGCCCGUAGGCUGGCAGGGAUGGACGGACGGACGGCCAAGCGCACAUCAAAUUAGUAAUCAAGCAUCACAAAAGCAACGCCCAGGGCCGACGUACACGGAAUAAGCCUUGGCUGAGUCGUCUCCGGCUUUGGCUUCGGCUUCGGCUCCGGCUCCGACUACGGGUCCGGGUCUGGGUCUGCCUGGAAGCUCAACUGCGAGGCAGACAGAACUAAUAAGACGACUUUAUUUUUAUUGAAAUUAUGAUUAA
Molecule: long non-coding RNA, 1116 nt
Organism: Drosophila mojavensis
Lineage: Eukaryota; Metazoa; Arthropoda; Insecta; Diptera; Drosophilidae
Exons: 4
Source: RefSeq, a predicted model, not a curated record